This 402-nucleotide ribosomal RNA is filed under the name uncultured bacterium. RNAcentral's name for it is "bacterial SSU rRNA". It matches the Rfam family "Bacterial small subunit ribosomal RNA", at positions 355 to 774 of the family's 1533-position model. The record is from RNAcentral.
UGGGGAAUAUUGCACAAUGGGCGAAAGCCUGAUGCAGCAACGCCGCGUGGAGGAUGAAGGCCUUCGGGUUGUAAACUCUUGUCUUCUGGGACGAUAAUGACGGUACCAGAGGAGGAAGCCACGGCUAACUACGUGCCAGCAGCCGCGGUAAUACGUAGGUGGCAAGCGUUGUCCGGAUUUACUGGGCGUAAAGGAUGCGUAGGCGGAUAUUUAAGUGGGAUGUGAAAUACCCGGGCUCAACCUGGGUGCUGCAUUCCAAACUGGAUAUCUGGAGUGCGGGAGAGGAAAGUGGAAUUCCUAGUGUAGCGGUGAAAUGCGUAGAGAUUAGGAAGAACACCAGUGGCGAAGGCGACUUUCUGGACCGUAACUGACGCUGAGGCAUGAAAGCGUGGGGAGCAAACA